This 29-nucleotide non-coding RNA is filed under the name Homo sapiens (human). Lineage: Eukaryota; Metazoa; Chordata; Mammalia; Primates; Hominidae. The record is from RNAcentral.
ACGAACACAAUAGUNCACUAUAUAAAGUC